UGUGUGUAGGUCACCUAAAUCAUCAGAAAAAUUGCCCCCCCUGAGAAUUUUUUCAGGAGCCGCCACUGCCACUGAGGCAAAUACUUUCAGGAGUUAAACAACACCAGAAAAAAAAAAUCACCUUGUCUCAUUCUUCCAACGUAGCUAGUGACUUUAUAAAACAAUAUUUGGUAUUUGUAUUUUAUAUUAUACCAACAAUAUAGGAACGCCUCUGGUGGCAAAAUAGUCAAUAAUAUAUAGGGUGUUCACCCAUCAAAUUAUUAAUUAUUUCAAGGUUUACAAAUAUUCCCAUUCAAUAGAAAAUUCUGUCAGAAAACAAUAGUCCAAACCCCAUGUAUCUACCGUAUAUGGUUCAAAAGUUACCGACGAUUUACUCUUGAGAAUUUAGCAUGUUUAGAUUAAAUGGAACGUCAUCACAGGCAUGAUCAAAAAGUGGUCACGUUCAAUAGAACUCCGCGGCAGAACGGCGCUAACUUCGAAAUUCAAUUUACAAGCUAACUAGUGGCUGUAGGUACGUGAGUGAAAACAUAUGCUUUUUAUUAAUGAAAUCCGCUGAAUACAAAACUAAAUAGGGACUAAAUAUAUGUAUAUAUAUAUAUGUCUUUCCCUUUAAAACGCUAUAGAACGGCCCCUCUCAACGUAGAUUGAUCGCGGUUAUAGGUAAUAGGAAGGAUCUGGAGGUGAAAAUGAAGAAGGUAUCAAGUUGAUUUUGAUUGGUCCAACCAGCGGCAACGCCUCCAAAUCGUACCACCUCACAACACCAAUAUGGAACACCAAAUCGCUCGUCCAUAUAUUAUGUGGCUGGCAGGGUGACCCCAGUAUGCGUCUCACCUCCGCCACGAGAAGUCUGUGGAGGUGACGCUUGGCUGCAACUAUGUAAUAAACGAUUUCCUAUGUAUAUAGACUAGACAUUACUGGGCAUUUUUGCAUUAGAUUUGGUCAGUUUUCUAAUAACGUGUGUGUGGUAAACAGGUGUGUUGUGCGUGUUUUGAGCAGCAGACCGAUGUCUCGGUGGCAUAUGCCACUCUCCACAUGGGGCUGGACGGGCUGCUCUCCUCUCCAGUGUGGUCUGAGGCUGCCUCCUUCUCUAUGCCCACCACUCAGCAGUUCACUGAGCCAGAGGCCCACAACUGCUAUGAGGUCAGAUGUUACAUACACACACACACACAUACAUACUAUUGACUAGGCACAUUAAGAUCCUUCGAUUGACCGAUUAUUUGUUAUGUCAUUGCAUUGGUCACUGAUUUUGAAUGCUUGUUUUGUUGUUGUAGGGAUGGGAGGAGGACCUGCUGCCUGAGGAGAGGGAGGUUCCUCUGCUAAACUGAGUUCCUCUAAAUGUCUGUGUAGUCUGGGCUUGUCAGAUGCUGAAGGAUAGUGGUCACAAUGCUGUUAUCCCCCAUUGACUACUGGUUGACAUGCUCCAUUCCCUCCCUCCCACAGCCUCUACCUUACCACCAAGAUAGUGGAGGACAUCGCCCUGAGGCUCGUCUCCCUGCGCCAGGCCUUCACUACCCUGCUCGGUUCCACCCUGAGCAGGAACCAUCUGUUUGUGGUGGGAAAGGUCCUCCUGGGCGCACUGGUUCAGGCCAACCACAAGGACGAGGCCAAAUUCAUCCGUGCCUAUAACAACUUUGUGGACUACCUGAGUGACCCCUCCAAGCAGAUUGACAUUGAGAGGGAGCUGGCUGAGGCAAAGAUCCAUCAUGUUAACCUGAUUGAUGUCCUCUUUGAGCUGGUGCUGUUUGGGAUGAUGACAGCUCAGAAGUCCCUGAUGGUGCACCCUGGUGGGUUCGUGGAGCGUCUGUAUGCUCUCCUGUACUCCUUCCUGCCCACUGCUGCCAAAAUGGAGCCAGAGGCUGAGAGAUACCUGCUGCUGCUCAAUGAGUCAAGAGGUUACUUCCUGUUUACUUCCGUAUUCUUAGUUUACUUCCUUUUUACUUCCUUAUUAAUGGUUAACCAGGUUUCAAUGCCAUUUUAGGGGGAGUAGUGCUCAUUGUCUCUCUCCUCUUGAUAAGCUAGUAACUCAGAGCCAUUUUCUAUGUGUUGUGUGGUGUUCUCUUCAGGGCUGGCUGAUGGCUCUGCUAGAUGACAUGUUUGGCCAGAAGCUGGCCUGGUACUUUAACCCAGUCUCUGGUCACUGAGCUCUCCAGCCUCCUGGAGUACCACUUGGAGAACCUCAUGGCCAGCAUGUAGUCAUACUGCAGGGACCAUACUCCUUUCUCAUCCCUCUCUCUUCUCACAUUUUCUCCCUCUCUCUCUCUUGUGAAGGAAUUGAGAACUUUAAGUGCUUUGUUGAACCCUGAUUAGUUAACACCCAUUAAAUUAAUGUAUUCUCUUGUUUUCUCUCCCCACAGUAUUAUUGUGACACUUUGCCACCUAACAGGGAUCUAGACACCAAUGCAAUACAUUACUUUGCACUGAAUUUUAAAUUUUUUUAUAAAAUAAGUAGUAGUUCAAAAACAUUUAUUACUGCGGUUGAAAAUUAACCAGCUGGCUAAAACCGGCGCUUUUACUGAAACGUUGAUUAAUGUGCA
Long non-coding RNA from Coregonus clupeaformis (lake whitefish), 2534 nucleotides. RefSeq lists it as uncharacterized. The record is from RefSeq and is a predicted model, not a curated record. NCBI's taxonomy places the organism in Eukaryota, Metazoa, Chordata, Actinopteri, Salmoniformes, Salmonidae. The transcript is spliced from 6 exons.